GAUGAACGCUGGCGGCGUGCCUAAUACAUGCAAGUCGAGCGAACAGACGAGGAGCUUGCUCCUCUGACGUUAGCGGCGGACGGGUGAGUAACACGUGGAUAACCUACCUAUAAGACUGGGAUCACUUCGGGAAACCGGAGCUAAUACCGGAUAAUAUAUUGAACCGCAUGGUUCAAUAGUGAAAGACGGUUUUGCUGUCACUUAUAGAUGGAUCCGCGCCGCAUUAGCUAGUAGGUAAGGUAACGGCUUACCAAGGCAACGAUGCGUAGCCGACCUGAGAGGCGGGUCGGCCACACUGGAACUGAGACGCGGUCCAGACUCCUACGGGACGCAGCAGUAGGGAAUCUUCCGCAACGGGCGAAAGCCUGACGGAGCAACGCCGCGUGAGUGAUGAAGGUCUUCGGAUCGUAAAACUCUGUUAUUAGGGAAGAACAAAUGUGUAAGGAACUAUGCACGGCUUGACGGUACCUAAUCAGAAAGCCACGGCUAACUACGUG
RNAcentral lists this ribosomal RNA (497 nucleotides) under uncultured bacterium. RNAcentral's name for it is "partial 16S ribosomal RNA". It matches the Rfam family "Bacterial small subunit ribosomal RNA", at positions 28 to 507 of the family's 1533-position model. The record is from RNAcentral.